CCUACGGGAGGCAGCAGUAGGGAAUCUUCCACAAUGGAUGAAAGUCUGAUGGAGCAACGCCGCGUGAGUGAAGAAGGGUUUCGGCUCGUAAAGCUCUGUUGGUAGUGAAGAAAGAUAGAGGUAGUAACUGGCCUUGAUUUGACGGUAAUUACUUAGAAAGUCACGGCUAACUACGUGCCAGCAGCCGCGGUAAUACGUAGGUGGCAAGCGUUGUCCGGAUUGAUUGGGCGUAAAGCGAGUGCAGGCGGUUCAAUAAGUCUGAUGUGAAAGCCUUCGGCUCAACCGGAGAAUUGCAUCAGAAACUGUUGAACUUGAGUGCAGAAGAGGAGAGUGGAACUCCAUGUGUAGCGGUGUAAUGCGUAGAUAUAUGGAAGAACACCAGUGGCGAAGGCGGCUCUCUGGUCUGCAACUGACGCUGAGGCUCGAAAGCAUGGGUAGCGAACAGGAUUAGAUACCCUAGUAGUC
RNAcentral lists this ribosomal RNA (465 nucleotides) under uncultured bacterium. RNAcentral's name for it is "partial 16S ribosomal RNA". It matches the Rfam family "Bacterial small subunit ribosomal RNA", at positions 338 to 795 of the family's 1533-position model. The record is from RNAcentral.